CUGGGAAAGAGGGUGGGGAGGGAAGUGGGCGGGGUGGCUGGAGAAGGGGGGCAAGGACAGGAGAUGGGUAGAGAAGGACAGACGGGGGCUGAGAGGAGGCCAGGCCUCCUAUGUGUCUCAGGGACCAUCCGGUUUAAUGUCCCAGUCAGCUAGUCAGGCUGGUGGACAGUGAGGCCCAAGCCUUCUUCCUGGCCACUUGCUUCCAAGGGGUUGCUGUGGAUUUCAGGACACGUGAAACCAGAGCUUGUGAGACACUCCAGGUGGAUGAAGCGAAAGCCACCUUCAGGAAGAGGAACAGCCUAGCCCAUGUAAAUAAUUCAAGACCGGCUGGGCUACAAGAGACCCUGUCUUUAAAAAAAAAUGUAGCUGAAAGCCCGCCCACAGAGCCCUUCUGUUCAGCGGCAUACCUUGGCAGGGCCUGCGGAAGGUACCCUUUCCUCAAGCCCGCUUUAUCCACCUGCUAUGGCUUCCCAGUUCCCCAUGCAGCAGUUCCCGCUCUGGAUCCUGUUUCUAACAGUACUACCAACUGGCUCCUGCGGUCAUUCCGGACUCCUGAUGCCGCCGGUCCCUUAGUGAGACGUGCGCGCCAUUGGCGUCCGUGGCCUCUGUUUCCGUGGCAACCCAGUAACCAUUAAUUUUCAAUUAAAGGAGACAAAAAGCUGGAUGACAGCUCCGGGUCUGCUGAAGAUGUCAAGAAUCUGUAUUAAUAUACAGCAAGAGAGCAUAAUUGUGUGUCCAUCUUCCAGAGCGGCGAAAAAUGGAGGGAUAAUUACCGGCUCGAAAGCCACUCUGUAAUUUAGUUCUUACUGUCACCACGGCCCUACACAUUAGCAUAAAUUAAAAGCAGGGUUUAUUGUUA
Molecule: long non-coding RNA, 859 nt
Organism: Peromyscus californicus insignis
Lineage: Eukaryota; Metazoa; Chordata; Mammalia; Rodentia; Cricetidae
Exons: 3
Source: RefSeq, a predicted model, not a curated record